This 254-nucleotide ribosomal RNA is filed under the name uncultured bacterium. RNAcentral's name for it is "partial 16S ribosomal RNA". It matches the Rfam family "Bacterial small subunit ribosomal RNA", at positions 524 to 776 of the family's 1533-position model. The record is from RNAcentral.
UACGGAGGGUGCGAGCGUUGUCCGGAAUCAUUGGGCGUAAAGGGCGCGUAGGUGGCCCGGUCAGUCUUUGGUGAAAGCGCGGGGCUCAACCCUGCGUCGGCCAGGGAUACUGCCGCGGCUCGAGCACUGUAGAGGCAGGCGGAAUUCCGGGUGUAGCGGUGGAAUGCGCAGAUAUCAGGAGGAACACCGGUGGCGAAGGCGGGUCUCUGGGCCGAUACUGACGCUGAGGAGCGAAAGCGUGGGGAGCGAACAGG